This 492-nucleotide ribosomal RNA is filed under the name uncultured bacterium. Its description in RNAcentral is "partial 16S ribosomal RNA". It matches the Rfam family "Bacterial small subunit ribosomal RNA", at positions 29 to 507 of the family's 1533-position model. The record is from RNAcentral.
AGUGAACGCUGGCGGUAGGCCUAACACAUGCAAGUCGAACGGCAGCACAGUAAGAGCUUGCUCUUACGGGUGGCGAGUGGCGGACGGGUGAGGAAUACAUCGGAAUCUACUUUUUCGUGGGGGAUAACGUAGGGAAACUUACGCUAAUACCGCAUACGACCUACGGGUGAAAGCAGGGGAUCUUCGGACCUUGCGCGAUUGAAUGAGCCGAUGUCGGAUUAGCUAGUUGGCGGGGUAAAGGCCCACCAAGGCGACGAUCCGUAGCUGGUCUGAGAGGAUGAUCAGCCACACUGGAACUGAGACACGGUCCAGACUCCUACGGGAGGCAGCAGUGGGGAAUAUUGGACAAUGGGCGCAAGCCUGAUCCAGCCAUACCGCGUGGGUGAAGAAGGCCUUCGGGUUGUAAAGCCCUUUUGUUGGGAAAGAAAAGCAGCAGGUUAAUACCCCGCUAUUCUGACGGUACCCAAAGAAUAAGCGCCGGCUAACUUCGUG